GAUCAAUGAUCAAAAAUAGCCAAAUAUAUGCAUCAAGAGACCUGAUCUUUCUAGUACAUGAUCUAUAUAUGUUUCUGAGA
Small nucleolar RNA from Sarcophilus harrisii (Tasmanian devil), 80 nucleotides. The record is from Ensembl. NCBI's taxonomy places the organism in Eukaryota, Metazoa, Chordata, Mammalia, Dasyuromorphia, Dasyuridae.